ACUCCCUGACCCCUUGCGCUUCCCGAGUGAGGCAAUGCCUCGCCCCUGCUUCGGCUGGCGCACGGUGCGCUCACCCACUGACCUGCGCCCACUGUCUGGCACUCCCUAGUGAGAUGAACACGGUACCUCAGAUGGAAAUGCAGAAAUCACCCGUCUUCUGCGUCGCUCGCGCUGGGAGCUGUAGACUGGAGCUGUUCCUAUUCGGCCAUCUUGGCUCCUCCCCGUGUUUCUUAAGCCUCUGGUUGUCAAACAGGGACAUCCAUACCAGUGAUGAACAUCAAUGUGAAAGGAGUCAUCAGUCUUAACUGGUUGAAUUGUUUUGGAGAACUUGGAACUCAACAUUCCAUAAAGUGAAUAUGCAGGAAAGACAUUCCAGCAGAAGGAAAUGAUAUGAGCAAAGACACAGAGGUGGGACCUCCUAAAGUGUGCUGUAGAAUGCUGUUGAUCCUAAAUGAGGAUGGCCAUAUUCAUG
This is a long non-coding RNA of Pongo pygmaeus (Bornean orangutan), 472 nucleotides long. RefSeq lists it as uncharacterized. The record is from RefSeq and is a predicted model, not a curated record. The transcript is spliced from 4 exons. Lineage: Eukaryota; Metazoa; Chordata; Mammalia; Primates; Hominidae.